This 2034-nucleotide long non-coding RNA is filed under the name Homo sapiens (human). RNAcentral describes it as "non-protein coding RUNX2-AS1:31". The record is from RNAcentral. Lineage: Eukaryota; Metazoa; Chordata; Mammalia; Primates; Hominidae.
CUCACACACAUCCAUGAGGGAAGAAUCAUUCCCAUUUAACAGACAAUGUAACUGGGCCUGAAUAUAGCUCAGCGACUUGCCCCAGGCCCACCAGGAAGUGGAUAAAGCCAUGCUCAACCCAGCACUUCUUCUCUCUACCUUCCACCGAUCCUGCCUGCUCAUCUUCCCUCCUUGGUGAAGAACUCAACCAUCUCAUGCUCCUACUACCAUGGUUGACGAGGAAGCUGAGCCACCAGACAGAGCAGUGGUGACCUACAGAGCCGUGCUUUCAUGACCAUAUGGCCUCUCAGCCGCGGGACUUGCCACACUGUCCCAUACAAUCCUCUGUCAUUUUAGUAUCUGUCACUGCCAGGUCUUCUUCACACCAGCUUGUGAGAAAAAAUGGUGCAUCACUUCUCAAUCCUGGUUUUAGUGACAUCAUAUUGAUAGCUUGAACUUUGCCAUAUUUACAUCACAGAAAUCAGUAAACACCAUUAAAAAGGCUUUUGUUUUCUUCCUUUUUUUUUUCUCAGAGAGCCAGUUAUUAAACAUUUACCAACAUGUGCAAGAACGGGUUUCAAGGCCGAGGUGGGCAGAUCACAAGGUCAGGACUUUGAGACCAGCCUGGCCAAUAUGGUGAAACCCCAUUUCUACUAAAAAUACAAAAAAAUUAGCCAGGCGUGGUGAUGCAUGCCUGUAAUCCCAGCUACUCGGUAGGCUGAGGCAGGAGAAUUGCUUGAACCCGGGAGGCGGAGGUUUGCAGUGAGCCAAGAUCGCGCCACUGCACUCCAGCCUGGCAACAGAGCAAGACUCCGUCUCAAACAAAACACAGCACAACAAAACAAAAAAGAACGAGUUUCAUAGUGAGAAACAGCGGAGAAACCAGCUUACCUGGUGGGCCUUGAGUGGCCCCUACAAACUCCAACCUGUUCAAGACUCAUUUGCCACGUUGUACCUUCCAGCCAAGGCAAUCCCCCCAGCCUGAGCUACUUCCCAGACCAGACCACAGAAGCAAGGCCAUGCUCACCGAGGACCCCACUUGUGGACUAGACUUCUGUCCUGCUGUGGCCUCAAAAGCAAUAGCCAGGGCCCCAUGAUGAAGCUGCCAUCAGAAGCACAGGUGUGCCUGGCAAGGACACAGGAGGACCACGGCUCCAUGCCGAUGAGAAUGGCAGCUAAGUCUGAAGCUUUCUAUGAUUUAGAUUCCUGGUUGCGAGAGGGAGCCUAUAGGAAUGGCGAGAAGAGUGAGAACUUUGCAGAGGCAGCAAGGAUUUUCUCUUUGGGUCACCGCGUGUUCUUUGGGGUCAUAUAAAGUACUCUGCUCAAGAACAAAGGCCAGUGUGGCUAUGAUGAAAAUGCAUUGACAGAGGGGCUUCAAUGUCUAUGGAACAGAAACAAGAGCCCUGGACCAAGAGGAGGAAAUGUGGAUUCACCAACAUGUUGAAAAUCAUUCUAACAUCUCCAGGCCUCAGCGUGGUCAUUCACAAAUGGAAUUCAACAAUUUCUAAGGUCCCUGUAACUAGCUUUGACAAAGAGAACACAGUGGAAGUGAUCCUGCCCACCCCUUUUCCAAGGUAGACCUUAAAAGACCUGUAGCUUCCACUAUUGUGCCUCCUAGAAGCCUGUACCAUGUAAGAAUUCUAACUACCAUGGGAACAUCAUGCUGUGAGGAAGCCCAAGCUAGCCAUUUGGGAGAGAGGAAGGCCACGUAGAGAAGCACCAAGAAACUAGACAUGUUUGUGAAGCCUACUUGAACUUUCCAGCCCAACUCCAGCUGAAUGCAUCCAAGUGAAUGGCCCCAGCUGAUCCCCUGUGGAGCAGAACCACCCUGCUGACUCCUGACUGAAUCCCUGAUCCACAGAAUUUGGCUAUGGGCUCAGAUCCUCUCUUACUUCAAGGGAUCUGGGCUGGAUGCUUGGGCGCGAGAGAGAAGAAUGGCUCUCAACUGGGCGGGGAAGAGUAGCCCGCAAGGAGGCAGCGGCUCCAGGAUGGGAAGUGAGGAUGCCAAAAAAGCAUCCCUAGGAAGGUUCCUGCCUUUCCACGAGGCUAUGGGGC